This is a long non-coding RNA of Ricinus communis (castor bean), 651 nucleotides long. RefSeq lists it as uncharacterized. The record is from RefSeq and is a predicted model, not a curated record. Lineage: Eukaryota; Viridiplantae; Streptophyta; Magnoliopsida; Malpighiales; Euphorbiaceae. The transcript is spliced from 3 exons.
UGAAUGGUGAUGAGGCUUUGUAAGGAAAGGAGUUUUUGAUGGAAAAGAAUUUUGAUUUGAUUUGGUCAAGGUAGACAUUGAGGGUUGGUUUGGGUACGUUGGGGGUUGGUCAUGGGUGUCUCUGUUAUGCUUAAUAAUCAGAAGCUCAAUCACCCUCCGCCUUGUUAUGCCGCUCGACGUUUCAUUCCUCUCUCUUCAAGUCUUAUUAGGCAUCCCAACAAAAAUGGAUUUUUCCUUAGAAGAAAAAGAAAGAAAAACCUAAUGACCGCAUUUCAAUCUCUCUAUCUCGAUACCAUGAACCUAAAGAGCUAAGUCCUUUGCUUAGGAAAAACUAAUAACUUAAUCACUUAAUCCGUUCCCAAUUUCUCUAAAUUCCUAAUUUUUUCUCUUGACAGAUUAAGAAUUCCUCCUUUCCACUGUAAAACCCUUUCCUUUUUUAGCACUGUAAUGGCUUCACGAGGACGACCUAAAAAGAUUCAAGCUUGUCGUCUCAACACCAGAGCCUAAGAGAAUCACAUCCCCUACUAUCAUAAACAUUCAAGUUCUCAUCUUUUCACUUUCAUAGGCAAUACUUGACUGUAAUGAAUUGUAAUAUAUUGCAUUAACGUGUUCAAGUUCCAAUUUCUGGUUCUUUAGAUGUCCAAAUUUUUU